Pangasius djambal is the source of this 71-nucleotide non-coding RNA. The record is from the annotation of a GenBank genome assembly. Lineage: Eukaryota; Metazoa; Chordata; Actinopteri; Siluriformes; Pangasiidae.
AUGCCGGUGGUGUAAUGUUAUCAUGUGAGCUUCUCAUUCUUGUGAAUUAGGUUCAAUUCCUGGCUGGCGUU